GAUGAACGCUGGCGGCGUGCCUAAUACAUGCAAGUCGAGCGAACGGACGAGAAGCUUGCUUCUCUGAUGUUAGCGGCGGACGGGUGAGUAACACGUGGAUAACCUACCUAUAAGACUGGGAUAACUUCGGGAAACCGGAGCUAAUACCGGAUGAUAUUUUGAACCGCAUGGUUCAAAAGUGAAAGACGGUCUUGCUGUCACUUAUAGAUGGAUCCGCGCUGCAUUAGCUAGUUGGUAAGGUAACGGCUUACCAAGGCAACGAUGCAUAGCCGACCUGAGAGGGGGAUCGGCCACACUGGAACUGAGACACGGUCCAGACUCCUACGGGAGGCAGCAGUAGGGAAUCUUCCGCAAUGGGCGAAAGCCUGACGGAGCAACGCCGCGUGAGUGAUGAAGGUCGUCGGAUCGUAAAACUCUGUUAUUAGGGAAGAACAUAUGUGUAAGUAACUGUGCACAUCUUGACGGUACCUAAUCAGAAAGCCACGGCUAACUACGUG
RNAcentral lists this ribosomal RNA (497 nucleotides) under uncultured bacterium. Its description in RNAcentral is "partial 16S ribosomal RNA". It matches the Rfam family "Bacterial small subunit ribosomal RNA", at positions 28 to 507 of the family's 1533-position model. The record is from RNAcentral.